Non-coding RNA from Aegilops tauschii subsp. strangulata, 1477 nucleotides. Lineage: Eukaryota; Viridiplantae; Streptophyta; Magnoliopsida; Poales; Poaceae. The record is from RefSeq and is a predicted model, not a curated record.
CUCCCUCCCGCGCCCCUCCCUGCCCCGCCGCCGCCGUCGCCGCUCCCCGCACUCGCUCCUCCUCCCCCCGCAUCUCCCUCCCUCCCACGCAGCCGCCUCUCUCCCUCGCUCGCUCCUCAUCUGGCGACGGCGGCGGCGGCUCCCGCGCCCGCGUUCUUCCUCCCACCAACCACGGCGCUCCUCCGCAUCGCCAUGGACGAGCUUGAGCUCGAGGUGCUCCUUCUCUGCCCAGAAGCCCAAGGGCGUUGCGGGGCGGCAAGGGCUCAGCCUCAACCCGCCAACCCUAGCUGCCCCCACGCCGCCGCCGGCUCCUUCUCCCGGCCUGCCGGAUCCCGUCGUCCGCAUCCCCGGCGUCGUUGCCAUCGCCGUCGUCCUCGCGUGCACUCGGCAGGAGAAGCGGAGCACGAGUCGAGGUGUGCCACCCCCGAUUCUGCAGUGCGCCCGAUGGCUGCUUCUGCAACAGCAGCGGUGGCAAGCCUUGGACUGGCUCAGGACACCAGAAGCGGGCAAUGAAGGCCAUUGCCAGGAGUAGCUUGCACCUUAGUUGGAUGGUGAGGUUGCCGAGCGACCAAGUGAGCACCAUUAUUUCUGCCCUCUCUGCAUUGGCGACUAACUACACCAAGAACUGAUGCUAGAACCAUCUUCCCUGUCAUGUUAUGUAAUAUGGUAGGUUUGUCAGUUAUGAUUCAAUCACCUUCAAUCUCAAGUAAUACCAAUGGAUCUGCAAGGAAAUAAAUUUGUUCUGUGACCAAGGUGUCAGACAAAGCUACUCGCAAUGCUUUUUGAAAGCCAUGAAAGUGAUUUGCAGAAGUUGUUCACUUUAACCAGCCAAAUCAAAGAUCAAAAUAAAGACACUGGAUCCAACGACUGCAAAAAUAAUAUAAAUGUUGGCUCUGUUCCACAGGGCCCAGUGGUGCUAGAGGAGGCGUCGUUCUACUACAAAGCUCCGGUCAACAAGAACUUCUCCAAGAAAGAUUGGACAGUUUGUUGCAGUUACGCUCCUUCUCUCCCUUCCUCCAAGCGCUCAAGGAGCAGCGACAAGAGCAACACGGCCCGUCAACGUGUUUGGCCCUCUUUGAGGUACACACACUCCUAUCUUCCUUCUCCUGCGCUUCGUCCCACUCUGCCUAACCUCACCAAACUUUGCUACACUUACAUCAUGAGGGAACGAAGGUAAGUAGCAGAUGCGUCCAUCGCAACACUCAAGCAAAUCAGAUGACAAGGUGUUUGGAGCAAGCUAAUCAUAGCCAACUACAUAGUUUAGUACUAUGUUGUAUUAAAGCAGUGUAAACAACUUAUAUGGCCUGCUUUUGGUAUAUCGUAUCAAACCUUGAUCUUUAGGUAUUUCAUGCUACAUUUUUUAACAAAUGCACCAAUGGUUUGUAACGAGAUUUGAUGUUUUGCAUUGGACCAUUACUGCUGUAAGUAAAUAUUAUCUUCUGCUUUUUGAGUAAUACUACCAGGAGUUGGAUCGUUA